CCUGGUUGAUCCUGCCAGUAAUCAUAUGCUUGUCUCAAAGAUUAAGCCAUGCAUGUCUAAGUACAUGCCGAAAUAAGGCGAAACCGCGAAUGGCUCAUUAAAUCAGUUAUGGUUCCUUAGAUCGUUUCUUCCUACUUGGAUAACUGUGGCAAUUCUAGAGCUAAUACAUGCAGUGAGCCUGGAGCCCUUUGGGUAACGGGUGCUUUUAUUAGACCAAGAUCGAUCGGGUUUCGGCCCGUAUUGUGUGGUGACUCUGGAUAACUUUGUGCUGAUCGCAUGGCCACGAGCCGGCGACGUUUCUUUCAAGUGUCUGCCUUAUCAACUUUCGAUGGUAGGUUACUUGCUUACCAUGGUUGUUACGGGUAACGGAGAAUCAGGGUUCGAUUCCGGAGAGGGAGCCUGAGAAACGGCUACCACAUCCAAGGAAGGCAGCAGGCGCGCAAAUUACCCACUCCCGGCACGGGGAGGUAGUGACGAAAAAUAACAAUACGGGACUCUUUUGAGGCCCCGUAAUUGAAAUGAGUACACUCUAAAUCCUUUAACGAGGAUCAAUUGGAGGGCAAGUCUGGUGCCAGCAGCCGCGGUAAUUCCAGCUCCAAUAGCGUAUACUAAAGCUGCUGCGGUUAAAAAGCUCGUAGUUGGAUCUCAGUUCCAGACGAGUAGUGCAUCUACCCGAUGCGACGGCUCGGACUGAACAUCAUGCCGGUUCUUUCUUGGUGCACUUCAUUGUGUGCCUCGAGAUGGCCGGUGCUUUUACUUUGAAAAAAUUAGAGUGCUCAACGCAGGCGAGUCGCCUGAAUAAACUUGCAUGGAAUAAUAGAACAAGACCUCGUUUCUGUUCUGUUGGUUUUUGGAAUACGAGGUAAUGAUUAAGAGGGACGGACGGGGGCAUUCGUAUUGCGGCGCUAGAGGUGAAAUUCUUGGACCGUCGCAAGACGAACUACUGCGAAAGCAUUUGCCAAGAAUGUUUUCAUUGAUCAAGAACGAAAGUCAGAGGUUCGAAGGCGAUCAGAUACCGCCCUAGUUCUGACCAUAAACGAUGCCAACCAGCGAUCCGCCUGAGUUACUCAAAUGACUCGGCGGGCAGCUUCCGGGAAACCAAAGUAUUUGGGUUCCGGGGGAAGUAUGGUUGCAAAGCUGAAACUUAAAGGAAUUGACGGAAGGGCGGCACCCACAGGAGGUGAGGCCUGACGGACUUAAUUUACUCAACACGGGAAAACUUACCCGGCCCGGACACUGGGAGGAUUGACAGAUUGAGAGCUCUUUCUUGAUUCGGUGGAUGGUGGUGCAUGGCCGUUCUUAGUUGGUGGAGCGAUUUGUCUGGUUAAUUCCGAUAACGAACGAGACUCUAGCCUAUUAAAUAGGUGCGGGGUUCCCAGCACCUUACAACCUUCUUAGAGGGACAAGCGGCUCCUAGCCGCACGAAACAGAGCAAUAACAGGUCUGUGAUGCCCUUAGAUGUCCGGGGCCGCACGCGCGCUACACUGAAGGAAGCAGCGUGUCUUUAUCCCUGUCUGAAAAGACUGGGUAACCCGUGGAACUUCUUUCGUGAUUGGGAUAGGGGCUUGCAAUUGUUCCCCUUGAACGAGGAAUUCCCAGUAAGCGCGAGUCAUAAGCUCGCAUUGAUUACGUCCCUGCCCUUUGUACACACCGCCCGUCGCUACUACCGAUUGAAUGAUUUAGUGAGGUCUUCGGACCGAUGUCCGGCGCGGCCUUUCGGUUGCGCCGGUCUGUUGGAAAGAUGACCAAACUUGAUCAUUUAGAGGAAGUGAAAAGUCGUAAGCAAGGUUUCGCUCGGUGAAAAGCCUGCGGAAG
This 1815-nucleotide ribosomal RNA is filed under the name Rhipicephalus microplus (southern cattle tick). RNAcentral's name for it is "SSU rRNA". It matches the Rfam family "Eukaryotic small subunit ribosomal RNA". Lineage: Eukaryota; Metazoa; Arthropoda; Arachnida; Ixodida; Ixodidae. The record is from RNAcentral.